GGGUGUUACACAGGUUUGUGAAGCAACACUACUUCCUUAGCUUUUGUUGUAUAGAUAGCAUAUAACAAUGAUGCAAAUCUUAGGUGCUUUUUUUAAAAUAUGGAAAUUAUUUAUAUAAUGGAGGGUGGAAGGUAACUAAAAAAUAUGUAUUUUCAAUAACUGAUCUCAAGGUUCUUCAUCACAUAUAUCUUGGAACUAUACAAACAACUAACCUUGUCAUGAUUUUUUGUUAGGAUCUAUACAUAUUAUGUUGGGAUAUUCGAAACACCGUGGACAUUGUUUACAUGUAAGUUUUUAAACACAUUCUACUAAACUUCCAAAAUCCAGCAUAUUACUAUGAAUAAGUACAAUUAGUUUGUUCGAUCCUGGAAGUGGAAUUGAUAGGUUAAUCUGCCUUAUUUUAAGUGGAAUCAUAUUCUUCUGACUUUUGUAUAUAUAGUAGCAGAUUGCUAUCAUGACAUAUCUUUUGUAGAACUGAAGGUGCUCGAAAGGCACACCAGAAUUCAGAUGUAGUUUAUGAACUUUCUCUGUACUUUAGAGGUCAGUGAAUGGUUUGAAAAUAUGAUGCUAAUAAUCAUUAAGCAGUAUGUAGUAUGUGUGUGUCUCUACUAAAGGACUUUGUAAUCAGCUACAUGAAAGAGAGGAAAUACAAGAGAAAAUGCACUAUAUGUGUGUGUGCCAAAGUGCGUGUAUCUUUUUCUAUCUUGAGCAUGUACUCUUCUUCUUCCUGGGGCUUCUCCAACAAUGUUGCCGUGAUUCUCUCGGGAAUUUAGCAAAAUCUAUUAACAAACCUUUUGUACUAUUAUUUGUUGGCAUCUCAUUAAGCGAAUUUAAAG
This 836-nucleotide long non-coding RNA is filed under the name Hordeum vulgare. RNAcentral describes it as "long non-coding RNA (HVUL_LNC008847)". The record is from RNAcentral. Lineage: Eukaryota; Viridiplantae; Streptophyta; Magnoliopsida; Poales; Poaceae.